GACGAACGCUGGCGGCGUGCUUAACACAUGCAAGUCGAACGGAAAGGCCCUGCUUUUGUGGGGUGCUCGAGUGGCGAACGGGUGAGUAACACGUGAGUAACCUGCCCUUGACUUUGGGAUAACUUCAGGAAACUGGGGCUAAUACCGGAUAGGAGCUCCUGCUGCAUGGUGGGGGUUGGAAAGUUUCGGCGGUUGGGGAUGGACUCGCGGCUUAUCAGCUUGUUGGUGGGGUAGUGGCUUACCAAGGCUUUGACGGGUGGCCGGCCUGAGGGGGUGACCGGCAACUUGGGGGCUGAGAGACGGCCCAGCCUCCAACGGGAGGCAGGGGGGGGAAAUAUGGCACAGGGGGGGGAGGCCGGGGGCAGCAACCCCGGGGGGGGGAGGGCGGCCUUGGGGUGUAAAACGGUUUUCGCGGGAGAGGAGGGGGGGGGGACGGUAAGGGGUAAAAAAGCCCGGGCAAACUAGGGC
This 468-nucleotide ribosomal RNA is filed under the name uncultured bacterium. RNAcentral's name for it is "partial 16S ribosomal RNA". The stretch from base 13 to 373 matches the Rfam family "Bacterial small subunit ribosomal RNA", at positions 40 to 399 of the family's 1533-position model. The record is from RNAcentral.